This 497-nucleotide ribosomal RNA is filed under the name uncultured bacterium. RNAcentral's name for it is "partial 16S ribosomal RNA". It matches the Rfam family "Bacterial small subunit ribosomal RNA", at positions 28 to 507 of the family's 1533-position model. The record is from RNAcentral.
GAUGAACGCUGGCGGCGUGCCUAAUACAUGCAAGUCGAGCGGACAGAUGAGGAUCUUGCUCCUCUGACGUUAGCGACGGACAGGUGAGUAACCCGUGGAUAACCUCCCUAUAUGACUGGGAUAACUUCGGGAACCCGGAGCUAGUACCGGAUAAUAUAAUCAACCGCAGGGUUCAAUAGUAAAAGACGGUUUUGCUGUCACUUCUAGAUGGAUCCGCGCCGCAUUAGAUAGUUGGUAAGGUAACGGCUUACCACGGCAACGAUGCGUAGCCGACCAGAGAGAGGGUUCGGCGACACUGGAACUGGGACACGGGCCAGACUCCUACGGGAAGAAGCAGUAGGGAAUCUCCCGCAAUGGGCGAAAGCCUGACGGAGCAACGCGGCGUGGGUGAUGAAGGUCAUGGGAUCGUAAAGCUCUGGUACUAGGGAAGAACAACUGUGUAAGCAACUAUACACGCCUUGACGGUACCUAAUCAGAAAGCCACGGCUAACUACGUG